This 253-nucleotide ribosomal RNA is filed under the name uncultured bacterium. RNAcentral's name for it is "partial 16S ribosomal RNA". It matches the Rfam family "Bacterial small subunit ribosomal RNA", at positions 524 to 776 of the family's 1533-position model. The record is from RNAcentral.
UACGAAGGGUGCAAGCGUUACUCGGAAUUACUGGGCGUAAAGCGUGCGUAGGUGGUUCGUUAAGUCUGAUGUGAAAGCCCUGGGCUCAACCUGGGAAUGGCAUUGGAUACUGGCGACCUAGAGUGCGGUAGAGGGGUGUGGAAUUCCCGGUGUAGCAGUGAAAUGCGUAGAUAUCGGGAGGAACAUCUGUGGCGAAGGCGACACCCUGGACCAGCACUGACACUGAGGCACGAGAGCGUGGGGAGCAAACAGG